RNAcentral lists this ribosomal RNA (576 nucleotides) under uncultured bacterium. RNAcentral describes it as "bacterial SSU rRNA". It matches the Rfam family "Bacterial small subunit ribosomal RNA", at positions 102 to 674 of the family's 1533-position model. The record is from RNAcentral.
ACGGGUGAGUAAUGUCUGGGGAUCUGCCCGAUAGAGGGGGAUAACCACUGGAAACGGUGGCUAAUACCGCAUAACGUCGCAAGACCAAAGAGGGGGACCUUCGGGCCUCUCACUAUCGGAUGAACCCAGAUGGGAUUAGCUAGUAGGCGGGGUAACGGCCCACCUAGGCGACGAUCCCUAGCUGGUCUGAGAGGAUGACCAGCCACACUGGAACUGAGACACGGUCCAGACUCCUACGGGAGGCAGCAGUGGGGAAUAUUGCACAAUGGGCGCAAGCCUGAUGCAGCCAUGCCGCGUGUAUGAAGAAGGCCUUCGGGUUGUAAAGUACUUUCAGCGGGGAGGAAGGCGAUAAGGUUAAUAACCUUGUCGAUUGACGUUACCCGCAGAAGAAGCACCGGCUAACUCCGUGCCAGCAGCCGCGGUAAUACGGAGGGUGCAAGCGUUAAUCGGAAUUACUGGGCGUAAAGCGCACGCAGGCGGUCUGUUAAGUCAGAUAUGAAAUCCCCGGGCUUAACCUGGGAACUGCAUUUGAAACUGGCAGGCUUGAGUCUCGUAGAGGGGGGUAGAAUUCCAGGU